UUUGUAUGUAUGUAAGUGGAAGCCCUUCACAUUAAGGGUAUAAAUUAUAUUUGAAAUAAAGUUCAUAUAUGAAAAUGUUAUGACUUUGUUUAAUGGCCACAGCCUGACAAACAAUCAUAAAGAGGAGGGAAGAAGGAUUGACUGGUGGAAGAUUAUUACACACGUUUGUCAAGUUGAAAAGACUAUACAGUUUGCAGUUUUACUUCAAACAGCAGUUUCCAUUUUAUUGUUUUAUAUAUGUACUGUUGCAACUCAUUUUAAAUCUGCAUUAUUGAACACUAACGAGAAAACAUCUGACAUGACAUCAAAUUCUAAUGUUCUAAUGGUUGACUUCAGCAAACAGUUGAUUAUUUACGCAACGAGCAGACAGAGCAACCUCAUAGUACAUUUGUAGUUAAGUUUAGGUCCACCCAAUGAAUAUAAGUCCAAUGCGCACUCUCUUUUAGAUCCACUUCGGUCUUCGCCGUUUCUCAGAACAAUAUUGUAUGAAGUUCUGUAUUGGUGUGACUUCAGUUUAUAAUUCUCAACCAAUGGGUGUGGGGAGGACUGCACUUUUUAUAACCCUCCCUCUAUAAACAUCGGCAAACACAGGUCCUCCAUUCGAAUCCGCUAGCUGUCCUGCAACCCAUGCAUAGGAGUUAGUAUGUACAAAAGUAGAUUCUCAACCAAAAAUUAUAUUAUAUUAAUAUUUAUUGAAACUGCAUGGUGUCAUUAGAUAGAACUGCAAGAAUUAGACAUUUCAACCUGUAAAAAGAAAACAUGAGGACUUAUUGCUGUUAUUUAGUCAUUCCCCAAACCACAGGGAAGAAAGUUGCAGCUGAGGUAAAAAUGACCAACCAGGAAGCAAUGAUUAACGAAAAGCCUUUAGAAUGGUGGAGAAUCAUGGAGUACCGCUUUCCAUUGUUGUCACAUCUAGCUGACAAGUACUUGCGAAUUUACUCACAAGCUCUCCAUCAGGGAGAUUGUAACACCUGAAGGGUCUCUAAUCGAAGGACCUUUAUGCUGGAUAAGUGUAACCAACGUCCAAAGUGUUGUCCAAUUGGAUAAAUUGAGAGCCAAGCAUCUGUUGAGCACGGCUUAGAUUUGGUCAUCAGCUAGCAACAUAAUUAUCAAUAAGAUAAUUCCCAAACAAAAAUAAAUAAAGGGGCACCACCGUGUGACAGGGACUAAUAACCUAAGUUUAAAUCCAUUCUCAUUAUUGAUAAUUACUUAUAAAAUAGGUUUAAGUUAAAGCACGGCUUGUGUCUCCAGCAAUUAUCACAAUGCACAUGCAUAAAGUAAUCACAGAAAACUGCUCCUUAAAGUAUGACAGAGUUUAUUUUUCUCCAGCACUAAUGAUCAAGUCAUUACUUUCUAAAAUUAACAGAGAGGGAGGAGUGUGUGUGGUUGUCUGUGAGAGGAGGAGGGAAAGAUUUGAGUGACCAAAGUGGUGGGAAGCUGGAAGCUAAGCUAACUACAUGUGGACCUAAUCUAUCUAUCAAGUGAGACCAUGUGUGGUGGCAGGUUUUUAAUAGCAAUCACCAUGUUACUUAAUUUGUGUCAUAGCAUAGAUAAACCUCUGUAUGUGUGUAAUCUAUACGUGUGUGUGUGGGUUAGUAAAACGAUAAAAAGGAAACAGGACAGAUUCCUACCCACCACAGCGAGACACAAUAGCUGUUACUCUACCAGACAGGAACUCGACUGGCAAACUGACAUCAAACUUGAACCAGUAAAAAUUACAGUUAACGUUUCCAUCUGCACUGACCGAUCGAGCGAAACAACACUACAAUAGUAGGAGAAUGGAACACAAAAUUUGACUGCACUCUGGGGCCGGAAAACGUUCCCAAUAACUUGUUAUGACAACAUAAGAAUGUGUACGCAGCACCUAAGAGAGCUCAGUAGUAUACAAUAUACACAAACAGUUCAAUAAUACAGUAAACUGUAUGUAAAACAAUCAAGGUUGUAACCACACGCAUUCAAGCUGCCCUGUGUUCGCUUCGCUCUGUCCUUCUCUGCCUGUCAAAAGUUCAUCCGGCCAGCAGACUCUGAACUAUUCAUGGUAUCUGGGAAGAGCUUACACACAAAUGUGAGUCAGCGGUGUAUUAUGGCCGAAGGCCAAAACCAUAGAAAGAAAGUUUGUAGAUGAGAGCUGGCAGUUGUAGUCUUAGGCCUCAGCGCAGGGACCCCUGUGAUGUCCAUGGUUUGUCCAAUGGGACCUUAUUGCUGAGGUUCACCAAGAGAGAGAAAUCACUCUUGUUGGAGGCCGCAAGUUUCCCUUUGUUACAUGGCCACCUUCCAGAUGGCGAUGAGACGACAGGAUCAGAGCUGCCAAUUUAUGAGAUUUUGCUACGGCCGACAGGGGGAAAUUGGUGAAAUGUAUGGCGUGAGUGCGUGUGAAAACAUGCAAAAGCGUUUGUCACACGUUGAAACCAUGAGAGUUGUAGGAUGUAGGAGAGUUGCUGGAUGACAUCUUUGCAUCCAAAAUAAAAUGUAUACAGUUAUUAUUCGCCUGAACAAAAUAUAAAUACAUUUUGUGGUGAUCUUUCAGGUGGUUAAAUAACUUUGCUUGCUACGCAUCGCAGACACAACUCUAACGCACUCUGAGCAUAUGCUUUGUUCUGGCAUUUUUUAGGUCUCCGCUUGAAAUUUUAGUUACACACUAAAACUGGCAUAUUUAAAACACCAAAAGGUUUCUCUUCAAAAUUCUUAGUGUCAUGAUAAAAAAGACAAUUGUGAGUGUGCAUAGUGAAAAUAUCAGUGUAUAUAUCUGUAUAUUUGUAUAGCACACAAAAAAAUCUCAGAUUCGCCUAAAAUAAAAAGUACUUACAGGGCCUUUACCCCGACAAAACAUGAAGGAAGAAGUAAACUCUACUAUAUGAUAUGUUUUACUAUGAUUGAGUAAAGCAGAGCAAGUCCAUAGAGGCUUUAGUGGAGGCCUGGCAGGAGCUUUACGGCAGACAGCUGAAGUGCAGUUUUUCUGAUCCCAGCCAUUCCUCGGCAGAUAUUUAAGUUCAGCCUCUCUGUGGGAUCGUCAGAGCCAAUGGAAUCGAGGCAGACCCAGGUGGGAUCUCCCCUAGCUCCGGGAAGGUUUGUCUGAGAGAAAUGUAACUUACAUCAGCGGAUUCAGGGUGGAAUAGUGGUGUUGCUUUGUGUCCCAGUUUGGUUGUUAGCUUCUAGCUUUGAUGGAUAUGUUGCUGUGGCUGAAAGUUGAAUACAAUAUUUUAUGACUGUAAUAUUUGUUGGAGUUGUGUUUCAAACAGAUUUUGUUGGCUUUGUCUCCAGGACUUUAAGCUUUCCAGCGGUUCAUGAUGAGUGCCUGUUAUGUGGUAGACCGAAACCAUCAAAUGGCAGCGUCUCAAGAUUCCUGUUGCCGGCGACGGGUUUUGUAAUAGCAGGGUCAGUCCAUAGAGAGCCAUGGGGUGACUAUUUUACAAAUAGUCAAUAUUUCUGUAUUUGUGUACAUUUCUGUAUUUGAAACAUGGAAUAUACCCAGUAAUAUUUGUAAAUUAAGAUAUCCUUAAUAUUUAAAAAAAUCCUGUAUGUCCGCCUGCCAGCAUCUCUCAGCUGUGUUCGGGCCAGGUCCUAAGGUCUAAGAAGCAGUUCAGCCAAUCACUGAUGAAGAUAAAUGAGUGACAUAUAAUUCAUUUCAGCAUCCUAAAAUACAUUCAGAUUUGGGCUAGCGCUUCGCUGGCCAGCUGCUUGACAUCAACAAUCUCCCACCUGGCGCUGCCUGCUCAAUCAGGGGAGGUAUUUAGCAGUGGCCCUGACGUCUCGUCCCUGCCGGAUUGUUAGUCUCAUUUGUGAGUGAGACUGCCAUCUCAGAUCAGUGAGAGCGAAAUAACAACCUAACUUAUACGUUAGUUUGUUAUUUGUUUUACCAGUAUCCUGUUUUUCCAUUUUUUCAAUCCAGGCACCUUUGGGUUGGGUUGUCCUGUGCACUCACCCAGUAACCUAGCCACGUUUUCUGCACCCCCCGGACCCUAACAACCUGCACCUCACCUGGUAUUCCGGAACCGCCAUCACCACCCUGUUUCUUGUUUUUUCCAUAUUUGCCCCCAAGCAAAUAAAUCUUUUGUUGUUCACCUUACUCGAUCCGCGUUUGGGUCUGUUCUGGUGGGGAAUACCUGACAGGAUCUCCUGGUUUUGACCUUGCCUGAACUGUUGAUUAAAUUGACCUCUCCCUCUCAUUGUUGUCGGAGUUGUGCUUUUGGGUUCCAUUGUGGACCGCUACCAGUAACCAAGUAACUAGAGGUGAAACAACUGGAGGCUGAUUGACCGCAGUGAUCAAGCCAUCACGUCGCCAUGUUCAAGUUAACAUUGCUACCCAGCUGAGACCGACACAGGACUGCGCUGAGGAAACACAAUGAGGACCAAAAUAUCCCAAAUAAUGAAUUGUGUGUCACAAAAGUUUUGUAUAAAUAAGAUGUCCUUAUUAUAUUAAACUGUUGGAAUACAUUUUUAUUAAACUGCAAAGGCGUAAUGCAUGUUUAAUUUUGCCUUGAAACUGAUUGGCUGGCCAUUCCAUGAAAAGAAAUUUCACCAACCACCACUGGUUAACAUCACUUGGUUCACAGCCCUAAAAACUUCCAGGCAAUGGAUGAUGAUCGUUUUCAAAGGGCUAACUCCUCGCCUUCUACUGUGGUGUAGCAUUUUUGUAUACAUAGUAUUAACUAAAAGUAAGACAGAGUACGGCAGAGUUUGUUCCAUAUCAAUAAUUAGUUUAACUUUAUACAAACUGGUCUAUUCUUAGGGCAAUAUCUUGAAAAGAGUAAACUUUCUAGUCUUCACUCAAAGUGCUUUAAAACUACUUUGAAGGUCAUCAUUCACCCAUUCACAUCCAUUCAACACUGUCAAGGGCUCCCAUGCGAUGUGUCACCUGCCCAUGAGUAGCUAACGUUCACACAGCGCAGGCACAGCCAGUGGUGUAGUCUAUAUUUUUGUAGUGAGUAUACUGUGAUUUUCCCCUCCCAGCGUCAUACUUGCCUGUCCCAGAGCGCUGACGCGCGAUCGACUGAACGUUCUGUCACAGCGGUGUCGUUGCGUAUCAUCGCACUUUUGUUAGUGGGUAUACAUAAAUCCUUGACUUUACCAAGUGGGUCUAUGGCGUAUACCUGCGUAUCACGUAGACUACACCACUGGUCACAGCCACGGGAGCAAUUUGGGUUCAAGUGUCCUGCCCAGGGACAUAUCAUCAUGGGGUAGCAUAGCCCUGGAUGGAAAUGCUUGAAGGACAGUGCCGCUCUAGUUUAAAAGUAAACAAUAUUAAAUUGGUACAUUCAUAUCUAAGAAUCCAUUAAAGUCUGAAAGGACUUGUAGGAUUUGAAUUAAUAAUAGCCAACUAAGAGCUCUGGCCUCAGACUGAUGUGGACUUGUGGAGUUGGCUGGGGCUGGAUAGACGUGAGGGCUGAUGCAGCUGGUGUCUUUGUUGCUACACCACACCCACUGUGGUCCAUCCGGCCAAGGACCUCUUUGAAGCAUCCUGCCAGGGAGAAUUACUAUGAUACAUCCUUCAGACAAGGCUUUGAUCACGACUCCGUAGAGUGGAAAUGUCGAUGUCUAACACAGGUGUGUAUGUACAGAACAAGUUUGUUUGACACCAGAAGAAUAUUGGUGUGUGUGUGUGUGUGUGUGUGUGUGUGUAGCUUUUGUUUUCCAUUUUCUCUGUGCAUGGAAUUGAAAUUCUGUUCAUUUUCUCCCUGUCACAGCCUGGCCUUGUGUUUUCUAUGUGUGUUCCCGGCAUGGGCGGAAGUUCAACUUGAUUGUGCCGGUGUUAAUGAUGAAGUGCAGUCUACCCAGCUGCCUUCCAUUAUAUAUACCCCGGCCUUUCAUCCACUCUUCACCAGAUUGUUAUAAACCCCCGGAAUUUACCUGUCUACCUGCACCCACAGCUCCCAGUUGUUCCGCUCUUCCCCUCUGGCCGUCCUGCUCCCCCUCGUCCAGUCUUCCCUAGUCACCCCUACAUCCUUGGCUCCCACUUCUUAGGGCAUUUUGCCCCUUAUUGUUUUUUAGCUAUUAAAAUCCUGCUCUCCCUCACUGUCUGGACCGUAUUUUGGCUUUGAGUCUGCCACUACACCCCGUGACCCUCCUUUUACUUUUUAUUUGUCUUGUAGGAAUAUGUUAUUUGAUCUGAUGGAUUAUAAAAUAUAUCUACCAACGUAACCUUAUCAGUGACAGGUAAUUUUAUUGCCGUUGGCCUAUAAGUAACAAGAACUGAUAGUACACAAAUGUCAAAGAUAUGUUUGAGGUCAUUGAGAUAGUGAUACCAUUACAUGGUUUGUCCACCGGGGAGAUGCUGAAAUGUUCUACUCACUAUACAGUACAUCCUGUUUUCAAGGCAGCCCUGUUUAUGCCACAGAGGAGACAACUACAGGCUAGCAACAUGAGAGGACCCCCACUUGUCACUCAAAACAACUACAUCCUUAUUUAUAUGACUUUAAUAUAAUUAAUAUAAUUGAAACGGCAGAGCCUUGUAACAUUUCGUUGGAGAGAGCGGAACUCUUUUAUGAACCAGGCUGAAUAUGUGUUCUUUCUGCACUAAAGUUGGGCAUUUUAAUAAAUGGGGUCUAUGGGGAUUACAUCACUUUCAGAGACAGCCUCAAAUUCUCUUUUAAAGGAACUGCAGUUUACCUAUUGGUUUCAUUUUUCACCCUGGAGCUUGAUUUUAACACUCAAAUCUAGUAAAGAAAUAUGAAAAUAAAAGUAAGACUUGUACAUCUUCAGUUCAUUAGUGCAGCACAGACUGUCCAACAACAAAAAAAAGCUUAAACUGACCUUGGAUUAGAUUGCCCUUAAUCAAUCCGUGUUCGUUUCAAUAUUUCAGCUUGUUUAUUUGUGAUGAAAUCUCAGAAGGAUGCAUCCACUCCUCUACCUACAGAAAUGUUGAGUUUGCUAGGUAAAUUCCUACUCCAAAGCUCCAGUCACCACCUCACCUGCCAUCAUCCCUCCAGUGUCCCUCCUCAGAAAUGAUCCCUGUCAGCUGAGGACAUGUGGCCAAGCCAGUUAGGCCAAAUCCAAAUCAAUUUCUCUCUGAUGGCAGCAGAAAAGUACCAAAUCAAGUUUAUACUCGAGCUAAUACAAUCAGCCUAUGGGUGGGGAGAGGAUGACUGUGCCAUCAUGUCUUCACUAAUUUAAUUUCGCCAGAGCAGGCGGACGGGCAGGCCUGCUGAAUGGGGUUGGUGCUGGAGGGAUGCCCACCGCUACUAGGCAUGGCUUGAUGAGCUCAGCUCCAAAUACCAUGGCUGUCAAAGGUUUCACAUGAGACAACGUCCAGCCAAAACCCUGGGCUGGAGGGAGAGAGACAGAGAGAAAUUAGGUGAGUCGGAGGAAGAUAAAAGAUGGUACAACAAAGAGGAAGAAUAAAAGUUAAAAGAAAAUGCUUGAUAAUGAAGGAGAUUAAAGACUAGAACUCUUAAAUGAAGAAAUUAGUUAACAAUGAAGGCGAAUAACCUCAAAGUGUUCAAGGAUUAUCAAUAAAAUGGUUUGAUUAAUGGGAUAAGGGGCCUAUUUUUGGUAGUUUAGUGUGCAAAACAAUGGAAACUUUUCAUGGUUUAAAUGAUUGUAAUAUUGAGGGAUACAUAUAUGUCAUGACUCACAUUUCAAUUGUUUUGUAUGUUUGUCAAUUGUUUUUUUUAAAUUUACAAAACCCAAACAAAGUAAUUGCAUUGGCCUGGUAGAAAUACAGCAUCACUCGUUUUUGGGGAUUGGGGAAAACUGCACUACCCUGCACUGCAGGACCACCACUGUGUCCUUACAAGACAGUGGUUUGGAAAACGUCCAUGCUAAAUGUUGGGAGAUUGUUGGGCACUUAAAAUACAGCCGUCAAAUGAUGAAAGGUUGAUAAAAUGGACACUUAAUGAGUGGGCGAUUCAAACGUUUUUUCAAAUACGAUCCAAGUUUUAAGGGACUGUAAUAAACGCUUCCACUUCAUUGAUUAUUAAAGAAGGAGAGAUUAUACAACAUUUUGGAUUAGCAUUUAUUGAUCAUUUACUGUGUCAUGUCCCAGAUCCCAACAAUAAAAGCACAGCCAAAUGUCUUUUUUAAAACUUGAGAAACAUAAAGUGAAUUUCCUAGAGCCUGUAUAUGGUUUUUCGACACAAAUAGCUUAUUCUCCUCAAGAUGACUAGCUGCAUCCACUCAUUCUGAGGUAAACAAAGUCCAAGUCUUAUUUUGAGGUGAUUCAAAAACUAGAGAAAACUCAUCCAUAAUAUAUUCCAUUUCUCCCAAUACAACUCACUAAAUUUUACGUCCUGGCUCUUUUGCGUCUUGCCCUCUACGUUAUUUCUUCACACAGCUGUAAUGACAGACUUUAGCCUCAGCGUCACUGGAAUGUUUAUGAUUACCAACUUUACAAUAUGCUGUCUGCCCAGGAUCAAAUAGAAGGCAGAGGUAGAGAGAAACUAGUGAAGAAAGUCAAGAAUGAAGCAGCUACAUCUAAAAGGAGUUGGUGAAGCCCAAACCAGAGUUCAAAGUAUAUUUGAAUUGCAUCAAUCCGCUGUUCAGAAACACCCGUAAAUGACGGUCUCGUUGCUCCAUAUCUGCUCACUGUGUACUGGUUUACUUUGAUUUUAACUGACAUGUGAUAUUGCUAUCUAAAAGUAUAACCAAAUGCUAGUCCAUGCCACCAUAAGGACAUCAGUGAAAGCCUUUUAAUCACAAAUACACUGGUGUGGCCCAGAAGCCAUCCAUUAAUAUGGCACCCUGGCACUCUUUUGUGGAGCCAUAGAUCCAAGAGGCUCUCUCUCUCUCAACAGGAACAUUUUGCUUUUUAGCGUGUAGAUGCCAGCACAAACCAGAUGUCAGCAAAGUGGCCCCUCGGUAGGCAAGGCUGAUGAACACUAAUGGAAGUGGUUACCUCACCAGGAAAAUGGACCACUCAGUUAUGGUGCUGGCAAGGUCCAUUUGUUCAGAGGCAGAGCCAGUCGGUUGACUUGAAUCAGGGGAGCGUUGAAUAUUUGCUCCCUUUGCCUGACCCUGUGGUGCACUUGGCAGACACAAAUUCUCAGUUGUCAGAGCUUUCUGUAGCCCCUGGAAGCUUUAGAUUGAAGGUUAUUCCUGUCUUCUUUUAAAGGCUCAGGCUUGCAAGCUUGAAUAUGAAUGUAACAAUUUGGAAAAAAGGAACCACAGUUUAACAUAUUUGUAAGAAAGAUUCAGUAUAUAUUUGCAGUUAAUUUACUCACAUUCGGUCUCAAACAGCAAAGAUAACGUCUGUGGACGUCUACUACUUCCCUUCAAGCUUCUUUGAUUGACCAAAUUUUUUAGUCACACAAAACCACAAUGUUGUAUGCUCCUAUUUUCACAUAAAAAGAAAUAGGAAAAUUCCUUCUCCUUCAUACCAGGCUUAAACAGCCUAGUAGGAAUUUUGUGCAUUUAAACAUAGUUAAGUUUAAAGCUCUUAUGUGGAAAAAGGGUUGGGAGGCUGGAGUAGCAGUGUGAAUGUAUGCAAUUAAAGCGUAUUGAAGUGUAGUAACGCAAACAUUACAUACAUUUGUGUGAGCAUUUGUGCUGCCAAAAUGUUUGCCUCAGCUUCUUGCUACAUUUAUUCUUUCUGUUGUGUGCUUUUUUCUCUGUGUUCUCCUAUCUGCCUUUACGUUUACUGCUUUGUUUUCCAAACCCCUCAGUGUGUAUGCGUCUGUGUGUAAUGCAGAGGACAGCGGGGCUAGUGGGGUGGAGCUGGCCAAUGUAGUGUGCAAAGAGCUGCAGUCAAUGCUGUGGAGUCAAUGACCCCCGACUCGGUGGGAAACCCUGCAGCAGAAAACUCCACGAGUACCCCCGGCGUCCGCUGAGCACUGCUGGAGGCUGCUCCACGUUCCCCUCAUAUUGGACAGCUGGCAGCUCUGCUGCCGGAACUGAAAGGAAAUAUCAGUCACUUCAGGUGAAGCAUCGUGUAGGUAUUCAUGACAUGGUUCACUAUUUGUUUUAUCUUAGCAUAAAGUGUGCUUAUCAAACUGAGCAUUCCUUUAAUCAUUUUUUGUUAUUUUUUAUUUUAACCCAAUGAAUGUGAUAUGGGAUCAAAUGUGUGCUCUGAAAAGUUUUUGUUUUAUUAAAUCUAAAAACUAUAAUAAUACAUUAUAAAUUAUAAUAAUUUGCAUGCACAUAAAUACACAAUAAAUUCACAGGUUUUCAAUGUCCGUUCUUCAAUAAGAGAGAGAGCAGGGCAAGGCAGGGACAUUUUAUUUAUUUUAUUUGUAUAGCACAUUUCAACAACAAGUGAUUCACAUAAAGCUAUUAAAACAUUCAAACAUAAAUCAAGGAGAUUUAGAAACAAUUAAGAACAUAAAAGAACAGAAAAGAAAAACAGCUUUAACCUUGUCUUGAAAAAGGACAGAAAGUAGGACAGACAACCAAAGGGUUCGUGGCGGUUCAUAAGGUAUCAGCAGAUCAGAAAAGUAAUUUUGCCCUAUAUUAUUCAGCAGGAUUUUUAAAUCCAUUCUUUGUUAGACAGAAAGCCUGUGUAAAGACCUGAUAACUGGAGUGAUGUGAUCCACUUUCCUGGUCCUAGAGAGGACUCCAGCUGCAGCAUUCUGGAUGAGCUGUAGAUUUCUGAUUGACUUUUUUCACAGACAUGUAAACACAUCGUUACAGUAGUCAAGUCUACUGAAGAUAAAUGCAUGAAUACGUUUUUCCAAGUCUAGUUGAGACAUAAAUCCUCUAAUUCUUGAUACAUUCACUUAGAUUUCUGGCUUGGUUUGUGGUUUUUAACAUCAGUGAUUGAUGCUCAGCACUGACUUUCAAUCGCUCAUCCAUGUUACCAAAAACAAUUACUUCUGUUUUUAUCUUUGUUUAAUUGAAGAACGUUUUGGCCCAUCCAGUUGUUGAUUUGUUCAAUGCAUUUAACCAGCCCUUGUAUCGGAUUGUAAUCCCCUGGUGAUAUAGUUGUGUGGAUAUGUGUGUCUUCUGCAUAACUAUGAUGUUGUUUUUCAUAAUCUGAGCUAAUGGAACCAUGUUAAUGCUGAUCAGAAGGGGACCCAGUAUUGAACCAUGGGGAACACCACAUGUAAUUUCUUCAGCUCGCUUGUUGUGGACCCCUAAACCUUCAAAGAAAAGGUAAAAUGUUUGAUAAACUACCAAGAAUUCGUAGUACCGUUUAAAAGAUAGAUAUAUGUUUAUAGUCUCAAUCUCUAGUUAUAAGUCUUCAACACAGUAUGAUAUUCAUUUAAUAAAGUAGUCAAAUAGACCAUAAAACUGUGUAUUCUUAAGGGCGGGCUAUUUUGAGAUUAACAGGUAGCUACAAUGUUGUUCAGUUCAAUUGGUAUCUAUUUAUUCAGUAUGUUUUCAAUCUGGAUAAGUCAAUUAUCAACUUAGCCUCGUCUUUUUCAGUAUUCGGAAAUAAUUAGCUCCACCCUCUUGUGUCACUUUUGCUUCCAAAAAACAAUUACAACAACAACAAUCAUGUUGCAGCUUUUCAAUCCAAAAUUAAAUUAUUUUAUAUUUUUAUCCCAAAAUUCGUAUGAAAUUGACAUAAUUAGCAUGCGUCAUGACUGCACAACAGCUUCAAAUCAGUUCAACCUUGAGUCCAGGUGAUGAUUCUGAAGACAUUUGGAGAAUGGCUGAAAGCGAGACACCCACGAAGUUUGGAAAGACUGACACCACCGCUGAUGAACCCAUCUAGUGAAGUGGAGUAUGUUUGAGGAAGGCUAAGAGAGUAAGAAGGAUGCUCGUGUUGUGCAGCUGACAGCAAGAGAGACUCCAGAGACCAUGAGGAGGGAUUUUGGAUGUGACCUCUUCUCUAGCUCCAGCAGAACAAUGUGAGAAUGUUGCUCAUCUCAGCAAGGUGAGGGUAUUAAAAAUAUCCCAAGCUUUGAACACCAUAAAAUCCAUCAUCAAAAAUGGAAAGAAUAUGGCACAACGGCACACCUACCAAGAGAAUGCCGUCCACCCAAACAAGGAGAACAUUUAUCAGAGAAGCAACUAAGAGGCCUAAGGGGACUGGAGGGGCUGCAAAGAUCACAGCUGAGUUGGGAGAUUCUAUCCACAGGACAACUGUUAGCCAUGUACUCCCCAAAUAGUACUUUAUGGAAGAGUGGCAGGAAUAUAGCUGCUGUUCAAAGUAAAGUUGGUUGAGACCAUGAUCGACUCUAUUCUUCAUCGGUUGUGUCUGUGACUGGAACCUCCAUACCUCUGCAAACUGCAACCCCUAACUGAUUUCCUACCAUACGACAGUACAACCUCAUACAGAGUCAGCUUCCUGUGCUCUAAACUAUUGGGCAAGAAAUGCGAGGAUGAAAGAAUGAGUGAAAGGAAUAAAGGUUUUAUGGUUUCAAAAAGAGCGGCAGAGGAAAAGCUGAUGACGCAAGCGGAGCGUCCCCCACGCAGGCCGAGCCAUCUUAUUUUGGAGAUGGCUCGGUUCAGCCUAUGUGGUCGUUGAAGGAACCGGCCCAUGUUGACCGCGAAGGAUGGAUCCUCUGAAGGAUGCAACUGCUGAAAUGAGACUAUCGACUAUAAUUAGACGAUCAGAGUUCCAAGACAACAGCAAUAUCCUCUGAAAGAGACCCAGUUUAAGGUACUGAAGCUGGUCAUACUGGGGAAGACCUGAAGAAAAGGCCUUACCGCUGUUACUCUUGUACGACGUCUGACAGAUUGCCUACGAUUGAAAAAAAAUAGCGUCGGGUCACUAAGCAUGCCCGGUCGACUGGAGCUAAGGGAAACCACACCACAGAAAGAAUACUUUUUUUUUGUCAUUUAACUUUUCUUUCAAAAUAAUCUUUUGACUUUUUUUUUCACCUUAUACGAUUCAAUUACUCACUGCGCAUGGUCGUUCCAGCCACGAGCAGACAGAGAGCCCACAACUACACCUCCCUUCCCCCGUCCGUCGGUCCGCCACAACUACUUACUUCCAUUUUGAUUUCCAUCUGACUUGCUUUGCCAUGUUGAAGUGGGGCCAAAUGAAACAAACAAAAACAAAAGAAAUUGUAUUGACAUACUGUCCUGAAAAUAUGGUUUCUCAUCAUCAUGCACAUAAUAAUCCAAUGAAAAACGAAUGUAAUAUUGCUGCACAUUUUGAUCGAAUGGAUACAAUGUGGUUUUGCAAUCAUUCUUUUACGUUUCAUAAAUCUCUGCCUGACCUGCGGUAUAUGGUAU
This is a long non-coding RNA of Gasterosteus aculeatus aculeatus (three-spined stickleback), 13056 nucleotides long. The record is from Ensembl. Lineage: Eukaryota; Metazoa; Chordata; Actinopteri; Perciformes; Gasterosteidae.